RNAcentral lists this ribosomal RNA (478 nucleotides) under uncultured bacterium. RNAcentral's name for it is "partial 16S ribosomal RNA". It matches the Rfam family "Bacterial small subunit ribosomal RNA", at positions 28 to 507 of the family's 1533-position model. The record is from RNAcentral.
GACGAACGCUGGCGGCGUGCUUAACACAUGCGAGUCGAACGUGAUUUUUGUGGAAAUUCUUUCGGGAAUGGACAUGAAAUGAAAGUGGCGAACGGGUGAGUAACACGUGAGCAACCUACCUUACACAGGGGGAUAGCCGUUGGAAACGACGAUUAAUACCGCAUGAGACCACAGAAUCGCAUGAUAUAGGGGUCAAAGAUUUAUCGGUGUAAGAAGGGCUCGCGUCUGAUUAGCUAGUUGGAAGGGUAAAGGCCUACCAAGGCGACGAUCAGUAGCCGGUCUGAGAGGAUGAACGGCCACAUUGGAACUGAGACACGGUCCAAACUCCUACGGGAGGCAGCAGUGGGGAAUAUUGCACAAUGGGGGGAACCCUGAUGCAGCGACGCCGCGUGAGCGAAGAAGGUUUUCGAAUCGUAAAGCUCUGUCCUAUGAGAAGAUAAUGACGGUAUCAUAGGAGGAAGCCCCGGCUAAAUACGUG